This 1035-nucleotide ribosomal RNA is filed under the name Xylariaceae sp. DIS 343j. RNAcentral describes it as "eukaryotic LSU rRNA". It matches the Rfam family "Eukaryotic large subunit ribosomal RNA", at positions 79 to 1142 of the family's 3401-position model. The record is from RNAcentral. Lineage: Eukaryota; Fungi; Ascomycota; Sordariomycetes; Xylariales; Xylariaceae.
CCUAGUAACGGCGAGUGAAGCGGCAAAAGCUCAAAUUUGAAAUCUGGCCCUAGCGGUCCGAGUUGUAAUUUGCAGAGGAUGCUUUUGGUGCGGUGCCUUCCGAGUUCCCUGGAACGGGACGCCAUAGAGGGUGAGAGCCCCGUACGGUUGGAUACCUAGCCUCUAUAUAGCUCCUUCGACGAGUCGAGUAGUUUGGGAAUGCUGCUCUAAAUGGGAGGUAAAUUUCUUCUAAAGCUAAAUACCGGCCAGAGACCGAUAGCGCACAAGUAGAGUGAUCGAAAGAUGAAAAGCACUUUGAAAAGAGGGUUAAAUAGCACGUGAAAUUGUUGAAAGGGAAGCGUUUGCGACCAGACCUUCUCCAGGGGGAUCAACCGCUGUUCUCAGCGGUGCACUCCCCCUGGUUUAGGCCAGCAUCGGUUCUCUUAGGGGGAUAAAGGCCUGGGGAACGUAGCUCUUUAGGGAGUGUUAUAGCCCCUAGCGUAAUACCCUUCAGGGGACCGAGGACCGCGCUUCGGCAAGGAUGCUGGCGUAAUGGUCGUCAACGACCCGUCUUGAAACACGGACCAAGGAGUCGAACAUUUGUGCGAGUGUUUGGGUGUUAAACCCUCACGCGUAAUGAAAGUGAACGGAGGUGAGAGCCUUAGGGUGCAUCAUCGACCGAUCCUGAUGUCUUCGGAUGGAUUUGAGUAAGAGCAUAACUGUUCGGACCCGAAAGAUGGUGAACUAUGCGUGGAUAGGGUGAAGCCAGAGGAAACUCUGGUGGAGGCUCGCAGCGGUUCUGACGUGCAAAUCGAUCGUCAAAUCUGCGCAUGGGGGCGAAAGACUUAUCGAACCAUCUAGUAGCUGGUUACCGCCGAAGUUUCCCUCAGGAUAGCAGUGUUGUCUUCAGUUUUAUGAGGUAAAGCGAAUGAUUAGGGACUCGGGGGCGCUAUAUUGCCUUCAUCCAUUCUCAAACUUUAAAUAUGUAAGAAGCCCUUGUUACUUAGUUGAACGUGGGCAUUCGAAUGUACCAACACUAGUGGGCCAUUUUUGGUA